UACGGGGGGGGCAAGCGUUGUUCGGAAUUACUGGGCGUAAAGGGUUUGUAGGUGGCCCGCUAAGUCACACGUGAAAUCCCUCAGCUUAACUGGGGAACUGCGUGUGAGACUGGCAGGCUCGAGGGCAGGAGAGGAACGCGGAAUUCCAGGUGUAGCGGUGAAAUGCGUAGAUAUCUGGAGGAGCACCGGUGGCGAAGGCGGCGUUCUGGACUGUCUCUGACACUGAAGAACGAAAGCCAGGGGAGCAAACGGG
RNAcentral lists this ribosomal RNA (253 nucleotides) under uncultured bacterium. RNAcentral's name for it is "partial 16S ribosomal RNA". It matches the Rfam family "Bacterial small subunit ribosomal RNA", at positions 524 to 776 of the family's 1533-position model. The record is from RNAcentral.